This 289-nucleotide unclassified non-coding RNA is filed under the name Hevea brasiliensis (rubber tree). The record is from RNAcentral. Lineage: Eukaryota; Viridiplantae; Streptophyta; Magnoliopsida; Malpighiales; Euphorbiaceae.
AACCAAAAAAAAAAGAUCUAAAGCAGAACCCUUUACAGCAUGAUCGGGAAAAAAAAAGACACAAGCCAAAAGGAAUGAGCUGAAAACAUGAAUAGCAUACUAGAGAUGCAAGAGGAGGCAUUGCAAAAUGCAAGGAACACAAUUAUUUUAGUUGCUACUUUGAUUGCAACAGUGGCUUUUGCUGCAGGAGUAAGUCCACCGGGUGGCGUAUAUCUACCAGGAUGGACCUAUGAAAGGGAAAUCUACUGCAGCAAGACAACAGCUGUCAAGGUUUUUGCAAUAAGUGACG